CUGAUUUACAUUUAAAUUACAAAUUACGUUUUGCUGGCAUUAAUUUACAAUGCUGCUUAAAAAAAAAAUACAUAUUCCACUGUACAUGAAUAAUAAUUCUGAGCAGUCAGAUCUUGCUGGAUUGCUAUGAUAUCUUGGCAGUGGGUGCUGCAUACUAAUAUUCCUAGGAAGUUUUCUCCCUGUGAGCGUGGUGUUUCUCCAUGCACAAGCCUUGCACAUUGUCAUGCAGCCAGCCAGCCGCCGUGCAGCCCGUUGCCAUAGGAUCUGCAGAACGAUCUGCCUGCACAUGCAUUUUUAGGAGACUGCAGCAUAGCUGCAUGAAAAAAAGGCUCUGAAACAUGUACGCUCAUUCCAGGGCCAGAACAAGGAGCUUUCUAUGAAUCACUGCAGCCUGUGAGCGUGCUAAAUGCCAAGAACUGAGUGGGAUCUGUUCAUGCCAGUAUGUGGCUGGGAGUUUUUCGAGGAACAGCAGGAAGGCUGGUGCAGCCCGGUGCACGGUCAGCUCUGCUCGCACCUCUCUGUGUUCAAUUCACCCGAUGCUGCUCUGUACUGCCCCGAUCACGUUGCAGGCUGCAGGUCAGCUCCCAUUACUUCAUCCUUGGGCUGUGUCUUUGGCUCGUGCGUGGCACCUGGGAUGUGGAGUAGCUGGGGCCGGUGGGAACCAGAGCAAGGCCGGUGUGCGGUGCUGUGUUCAGGUUGAGAAAACGUCAGUCUUGACAUUCAGAACCAUCCUCCGUACAAAAUCCACGCUCUUCUGCAAGAAGAAAGGCUGUCUGUGAAAACAAAGCACAGAAUAAAGCAGAGCCACAGUCACCCUCACUUACUCACAAGAAGCAGUGCUGAUAAAUGACUAAUAGGAGUGACUGUUCAUAAAGCUGGAUUCAUCCUUAAUUUCCUCUCUCAGAAACUUUUCAGGUUCGUGAGCAACAUCAUUUCAGCUUUACUUUCCCAGGAAGCUCCUUUCUGAUGGGAAAAGAGUUGCCUUGUAAACGUUAUAACAAAUUCACCGGGACCACAUCACAAUCCGCUCAUUUCCUCUCGGCUCCCUGAGACACAACUUGCUGCAGAAAGGAUUCAUUUGUAGUGUGUGCUUGAAACACUACAAGGAAAAUGCUCAGAACAGAGGACCUGCCUACUCUUCAAAUCCUUUUCCUUCCCAUCAGAAGUGAGGGAGAAAAGUGAGUGUCAGCAGCUUCACGGGGAUAAACCAACAGCACAUCUUGGACACAGCUAGCCAAGAAAGCAGCCCCAGAAAGGAGCACACAGAAGGUGCAGAUGGCAGUAGAUCUCCUUCCUCAGAGCUAAAUGCUUCCAGCCCUUCCCAAGCGAGUGCACCACAGCAACCACCUCUAAUAACAAAACCUGAACUCAGCACCGAUCACAUCCUCAGAAAAGGGCAGAGGAAUGGGAAGAGAGAGAGACGGUGGGGCAUCCAUCCAUCCUGUGGGAAGCAGGGCAAGGGAGGAAACCUGGUGCAGCACAUAAACACAAUUAGUUCAGUAGGGAUAAUGGGUUUUACAACCAUCAUGUUAAAGAGACUGGGAAUACUUUAAAAGACUGUCAAUGCUCAGUGCUUGCCGUGUGGAAGCAGCUUGCUGAAACCUGGGAAGCACUUCAGAGGCAGCCCACAUCGAUAUCCCAGCAUCAACAGACAUGUGCACAGCAGGAAAGGAGCAGCCAGAAACGUGCAGCCUGGCUGUAUUUUCCUAUAAGUUGUUUACUUAAGAGAAAAAAAUACCACCUACCUAGCACAGCUCCUUUCUCUGCAGCCAUCACAUGCUCAGCUUCAUUGUUUGCUAAUUGCAGAUUGCUCACAAACACAGGGCACUAAAUUUAGGCUUUGGUGUCGUUCCUUUGCUUGAUAAAGCAAACAAACAAAGCAAAAUAAUUACAGGAGUCUUGCAAGUGAAUACAACAAAAAGUCAAAACAAAGGCAAAAUA
Molecule: long non-coding RNA, 1941 nt
Organism: Gallus gallus (chicken)
Lineage: Eukaryota; Metazoa; Chordata; Aves; Galliformes; Phasianidae
Source: Ensembl